UACAGAGGUCCCGAGCGUUGUUCGGAUUUAUUGGGCGUAAAGGGUGCGUAGGUGGUCGGGUAAGUCUGAUGUGAAAUCUCCGAGCUCAACUCGGAAAUGGCAUUGGAUACUAUUCGGCUAGAGGAGUGGAGGGGGGACUGGAAUACUUGGUGUAGCAGUGAAAUGCGUAGAUAUCAAGUGGAACACCAGUGGCGAAGGCGAGUCCCUGGACACUUCCUGACACUGAGGCACGAAAGCUAGGGGAGCAAACAGG
This 253-nucleotide ribosomal RNA is filed under the name uncultured bacterium. Its description in RNAcentral is "partial 16S ribosomal RNA". It matches the Rfam family "Bacterial small subunit ribosomal RNA", at positions 524 to 776 of the family's 1533-position model. The record is from RNAcentral.